Molecule: long non-coding RNA, 2522 nt
Organism: Quercus robur (English oak)
Lineage: Eukaryota; Viridiplantae; Streptophyta; Magnoliopsida; Fagales; Fagaceae
Exons: 2
Source: RefSeq, a predicted model, not a curated record
UUCCCAACUACCCCCACCUAACCCCUUCUUCUUUUUUCUGAUUCAUAAUAACCUUCAGUCAGUAUCUCCAUCUUAUCUCUAUCUCAGUAUCUCCGCCUCUCUUUCUUCUCCUUCUUUCUUUUUUUUUUUUUUUUUUUUGAGAAUCUUUUUCUUGCCUCUGCUUCUUUUACAAUUUGAGUUUUAUGCUUUUAUUAUUGAUGAUGAUUUUGGGUUGGGUUUGAUUAAGGGCAGUGAUUUUGGGCGGAGAAAGUAAAAUUCCGGUUUGGGUUUUUCUUCCUCUUCUUCAGCAUCUUCUUCUUUCUUUCUUCUUCUUCUCCUUCUUCUUUUUUCAAUUUCGGUUUGAUUAUUUAUAUGAAUUUGUAUAUGGGUUUGAUGAAUUUGGAUCUAGAUUUAGAACGAUUUUGAUGAUUUUGUGGUGUGUCCGUGAUGAUUUUGGGUUGGGUUUCCCGGUGAGCUGAAAAAAAAAUUUUGAGUUGGGUUUUCCAGUGGGUUUGUCUUGAUUUUGAGUUGGGUUUUCUAAUUGCUUUUCCGUUGAUUUUGGGUUAAUUUUCUGUUGAUUUUGGGUUAAUUUUCUGUGCUAGGUUGCUGUGUUUGGUGGUGGUGAUGGUGGGUUUGGUGGUUGGGUGGUUAUUUUCUGCUUCCUUCUUCUUAUUCUGUCGCGUUGGGUUGUUAUAGACGUUGGGAGUGGGAAUUUUUGUAAAAGUGCUGUGAGAGCACUUUCUCUCCAGCAUUUUCCUCUCGAUUUGGGAGGAUGAAUUUUGUGGGCCCGGGAGAGAAAAUUUUCUCCCGGGUUUUCCUUCCUCCUCAUUUUCCUUCUUUUGCCAAACAGUGGAAAGCAUUGUUUUCCACCCAAUUUUCCUCCUAAUGUUUUCCAUCCCCCUAAAUUCACCCCCAACCACAGUGUAAAGUCCGAGAUCGAUCCUCCCUUUCCUAAUGAGUUUCCUUUACAAGAUUUCCAACUUAUCGAAAGCAGAGUUGUUAAGGAUUGUCUCUAGGAAUCGAGAUCAAAGAAUGAGCCACGUCCUCCUUCUUCCACUAGAAAAUGAAUGGAUAAAGAAACCAAACUGCAGUCCGUCAAAGCAAAUAACUAUGAGUUUAAAAAUUUUGCAGCGGUUUUGGCACAACAUUUGCAUAUAUUGCAGUAGAAGCAUUGGCUGAUGGUGGGGUAGCUGCAGCCUUACCACAAGAAAUUACAUUGAAACUAUUAUUAUUAGGUGAGCAAUGGGUUCUGUUUCUUUAUUAAACUACAUCAUACCAUAUCAUCUUUGUGCUUUCCAAUUUGGGAUAAGAUCUUCUCCCAUUUAAAUCUUCCAAUCUCCAAUUUUUAACCAAAUGUGAGACUUUUGUCAUUUAUUUGAUUGUGUGGUUUACAUAGGCCUUCUUAAGAUCAUUGGCUUUUUAAAAUGCCUUGUGUCAUAUAUCUAGAUCAAAAUUGGGGAAACGAGUUUCAUUCUACCAUAGCAACGAUAAGAAAACAAAACUCAAAAAAUAGAAAAUUUGGAAACAAUAGAUCACAUCUAAAGUGAUAACCCUCUCCAGCUUGUGUUAUUUAAAGCAAUCAUCAACACAUGAAUUUGAUAAAUCUCAUUAUUUUUCUUGUAAUCCUAGUACACAUGAGCCACUUCCUUAUUUCUCUCAUCAGCAAUUAGCUUUACUAAGGAAACAUAGCUAAUAUUCUUGGCGAUAGUCAUGGCACUUUCUACUAUCCUCGCAGUGUGUUCACAUCUGUGACAUUCAAAAUAUACAUAAACAACUAUCUGUUGCAGAAGCUUAAAUUGAUAUGAGCAUAUUAAUGUGGAUUUUUUAACAUAAGAUAAGGGCAUAAAUUGAUUGAAAUAUAUGGUUAUUUACCUGAUAUCAUGAAGAACUGUUGAAUGCUUUGGAAGCUGCUUGCUUUAGUGAUUGGAAACCAUUUUGGACCCAGCCACACAAUGUUUUGAAUGCCUCUGAGGUAUAUUGAUUGAUUGAUUGGAAAAUUUCUUGAAAGCAUUGGAGAAUCUCUUGGUGUGAGACACAAAGUAAUUGUGCGAACAUUAAUGCACAAAUGGCAAGGAUGAAGAAUCCCAAGGGAGGUAGAAGGAUCUCUACCAGCAAGCCAGAGGCAGAAGUGCCAAAAAUGACGCACACACUCCUGCCUAUAUGGAGGCAACUUGUGUUGAGAGCUGGUUGGCUUAUCCAUGCCAAUGUUAUAGAGUAACCAAUCACAAGUACGAUAAAAGAUGACAUAAUUGCACCGUGCGUUUGAAAUGGGUUGCCAGAGUUUUGAUACUUGACUUGUAGAAGGGCAAGCAGCGCUAAAAUGAGAAAACCCAAAGCAGUAUGGACUUUGGUGGAGGAACCAAGUUGUUGCUGACUGAAAAACAGAGAGGAAAAAAAAAAAAAACAUAGAAUUGCCUCAGAUUACAUGCAAUAUUGAAUCCUGUGUUCACCGAUAAUGAUGGAAUAAUAUUAUUUUUAUUGUGUUCUUGCUUACAUUUAAAUCCCAGAUUUGAUUUUGCUGGCUCCUAUUGAAUUGUUGUUUU